AUGCUGUUGGAUGAUGAUAAAUUGAGUGAUCCAUCGACUGAAAAUAAGGAUGAGCUUUAAAGUACUGACAACAGCUU
Small nucleolar RNA from Scleropages formosus (Asian bonytongue), 77 nucleotides. Ensembl annotates it as small nucleolar RNA SNORD71. The record is from Ensembl. Lineage: Eukaryota; Metazoa; Chordata; Actinopteri; Osteoglossiformes; Osteoglossidae.